RNAcentral lists this ribosomal RNA (458 nucleotides) under uncultured bacterium. RNAcentral's name for it is "partial 16S ribosomal RNA". It matches the Rfam family "Bacterial small subunit ribosomal RNA", at positions 338 to 795 of the family's 1533-position model. The record is from RNAcentral.
CCUACGGGAGGCUGCAGUGAGGAAUAUUGGUCAAUGGGCGAGAGCCUGAACCAGCCAAGUCGCGUGAGGGAGUGCUGCCCUAUGGGUUGUAAACCUCUUUUGUCGGGGAGCAAAAGCCGGACGUGUCCGGCUGUGAGAGUACCCGAAGAAAAAGCAUCGGCUAACUCCGUGCCAGCAGCCGCGGUAAUACGGAGGAUGCGAGCGUUAUCCGGAUUUAUUGGGGUUAAAGGGUGCGCAGGCGGAUUUUUAAGUCAGCGGUCAAAUCGUGGGGCUCAACCCCAUCCAGCCGUUGAAACUGGGGAUCUAGAGUGUGCGAGAGGUAUGCGGAAUGCGUGGUGUAGCGGUGAAAUGCAUAGAUAUCACGCAGAACCCCGAUUGCGAAGGCAGCAUACCGGUGCACAACUGACGCUCAGGCACGAAAGCGUGGGUAUCGAACAGGAUUAGAUACCCGAGUAGUC